CUUCUCCCUCACCCUCGCCUCGAUCACCCGCUCCCAGAUCUUCAUGGUGUGACUUAUUAAUUUGAUACCCCUAUAGUUGUUGGAGCACUGGAUGUCCCCUUUGUUCUUGUACAAGGGCACCACUGUACUCCACCUCCACUCACCCAGCAUCCUUUUGGUCCUGAAGAUCGCAUUGAACAACCUGGAGAGCCACUCCACUCCUGACCUACCCAUGCACUUCCAACCGGUAUCUCGUCAGGCCCAGUCGCUCCACCCCUACUCAUCUUGCACAAAGCCCCCAUGACCUCCUCUGCCCUAAUGCGCCUGCAGUACCCAAGGUCUCUAUGUUGCUCUNNNN
This 337-nucleotide long non-coding RNA is filed under the name Nicotiana benthamiana. Its description in RNAcentral is "long non-coding RNA (NBEN_LNC019549)". Lineage: Eukaryota; Viridiplantae; Streptophyta; Magnoliopsida; Solanales; Solanaceae. The record is from RNAcentral.